This 286-nucleotide unclassified non-coding RNA is filed under the name Hevea brasiliensis (rubber tree). The record is from RNAcentral. Lineage: Eukaryota; Viridiplantae; Streptophyta; Magnoliopsida; Malpighiales; Euphorbiaceae.
GCCGCUCAGGUCCCUUCCUCCACUAUACACAAUCAAUUGUUAAAUCAAACACAUAUGAAUUUUAGGAAGUUAAAAACUAAACAAAAAAACCACCUGCAGCACACAUAGUAGCCAGACCACCAAAACCAAAUUGUGUUUUUAUCAUUUAUAACAAUUUCAACUAUAUGCUAAGCCAGUGGCAGGAAAUUCAUUUAAAAACAUUCUAGUUUAGCAGAGAUGAUGUGCUUCAGCAGGACCCAUAGAUUUAAAUAACAGUUAUGUACUAUUUCGGGUGAGAGUCACCAUU